GAGUUUACGCUCUACAACCCUUUGUGAACAUACCUAUAACUGUUGCUUCGGCGGGUAGGGUCUCCGUGACCCUCCCGGCCUCCCGCCCCCGGGCGGGUCGGCGCCCGCCGGAGGAUAACCAAACUCUGAUUUAACGACGUUUCUUCUGAGUGGUACAAGCAAAUAAUCAAAACUUUUAACAACGGAUCUCUUGGUUCUGGCAUCGAUGAAGAACGCAGCGAAAUGCGAUAAGUAAUGUGAAUUGCAGAAUUCAGUGAAUCAUCGAAUCUUUGAACGCACAUUGCGCCCGCCAGCAUUCUGGCGGGCAUGCCUGUUCGAGCGUCAUUUCAACCCUCAAGCUCUGCUUGGUGUUGGGGCCCUACAGCUGAUGUAGGCCCUCAAAGGUAGUGGCGGACCCUCCCGGAGCCUCCUUUGCGUAGUAACUUUACGUCUCGCACUGGGAUCCGGAGGGACUCUUGCCGUAAAACCCCCCAAUUUUCCAAAGGUUGACCUCGGAUCAGGUAGGAAUACCCGCUGAACUUAAGCAUAUCAAUAAGCGGAGGAAAAGAAACCAACAGGGAUUGCCUCAGUAACGGCGAGUGAAGCGGCAACAGCUCAAAUUUGAAAUCUGGCCCUAGGCCCGAGUUGUAAUUUGCAGAGGAUGCUUUUGGUGCGGUGCCUUCCAAGUUCCCUAGAACGGGACGCCAGAGAGGGUGAGAGCCCCGUACAGUUGGACACCAAGCCUUUGUAAAGCUCCUUCGACGAGUCGAGUAGUUUGGGAAUGCUGCUCAAAAUGGGAGGUAUAUUUCUUCUAAAGCUAAAUACCGGCCAGAGACCGAUAGCGCACAAGUAGAGUGAUCGAAAGAUGAAAAGCACUUUGAAAAGAGGGUUAAACAGCACGUGAAAUUGUUAAAAGGGAAGCGCUUGUGACCAGACUUGCGUCCGGUGAAUCACCCAGCUCUCGCGGCUGGGGCACUUCGCCGGCUCAGGCCAGCAUCAGCUCGCUGUCGGGGACAAAAGCUUCAGGAACGUAGCUCUCUUCGGGGAGUGUUAUAGCCUGUUGCAUAAUACCCUUCGGCGGGCUGA
RNAcentral lists this ribosomal RNA (1065 nucleotides) under fungal endophyte. Its description in RNAcentral is "eukaryotic LSU rRNA". The stretch from base 487 to 1065 matches the Rfam family "Eukaryotic large subunit ribosomal RNA", at positions 1 to 591 of the family's 3401-position model. Lineage: Eukaryota; Fungi. The record is from RNAcentral.